Molecule: unclassified non-coding RNA, 400 nt
Filed under: fungal sp.
Lineage: Eukaryota; Fungi
Description: partial internal transcribed spacer region
Rfam family: Eukaryotic small subunit ribosomal RNA (bases 1-46)
Source: RNAcentral
AAGUCGUAACAAUGUUUCCGUAGGUGAACCUGCGGAAGGAUCAUUAACACGUAUCCAAACGUUAAACCCCCCUGUGAACCUUCACCUGUACUCGUCGUCCGUUAGAAAAAGCAGCAAUCCCUGGUAAAUCAUCGCCGAACAGUUUUCGAUUCAGGGACGUCUGCAAGGAGCGUGCAUGUUGUGCGAAGCAAGUGGCCUGGCAUCCCCAAGCAGUUAGUGUCUGAAAGUGUCAUUACCUGUGUAAGGAUGACGCAGUCACGAUCGUUGGAGGCCCACACGGCCGACGACCGGGUCGCUGGGCGCAAGCCCCCCUAUAACAAACCCCCUGCCAAUCGCGGCCGCGAUAAUACGCAGUCGACCAAAAACCGAACAACUGUUAACAAUGGAUAUCUUGGUUCUC